Non-coding RNA from Hypoxylon crocopeplum, 99 nucleotides. The record is from the annotation of a GenBank genome assembly. Lineage: Eukaryota; Fungi; Ascomycota; Sordariomycetes; Xylariales; Hypoxylaceae.
GGGCUCGUGGUUUAGUGGUAUAAUACUCCCUUAGCAUACGUUGAUCUACGAUCAUCGACAGCCUGGGAGUGGUCCGGGGUUCGAUUCCCCGCGAGUCCA